RNAcentral lists this non-coding RNA (29 nucleotides) under Cricetulus griseus (Chinese hamster). Lineage: Eukaryota; Metazoa; Chordata; Mammalia; Rodentia; Cricetidae. The record is from RNAcentral.
AGGGACAGAAGUUAAAAUUCAGGAAUUUA